Molecule: ribosomal RNA, 245 nt
Filed under: uncultured bacterium
Lineage: Bacteria
Description: partial 16S ribosomal RNA
Rfam family: Bacterial small subunit ribosomal RNA
Source: RNAcentral
UACGUAGGAGGCAAGCGUUGUCCGGAAUUAUUGGGCGUAAAGCGCAUGUAGGCGGUCUUGUAAGUCAGGUGUUAAAUCCCCGGGCUCAACCCGGGUUCGCACUUGAUACUGCAGGGCUUGAGAGAUAUAGAGGAAAGCGGAACUACCGGUGUAGCGGUGAAAUGCGUAGAUAUCGGUAGGAACACCAGUGGCGAAGGCGGCUUUCUGGAUAUUUUCUGACGCUGAGAUGCGAAAGUUAAGGGAGC